Molecule: long non-coding RNA, 1414 nt
Organism: Apis cerana (Asiatic honeybee)
Lineage: Eukaryota; Metazoa; Arthropoda; Insecta; Hymenoptera; Apidae
Source: RefSeq, a predicted model, not a curated record
UGCAACGUCCACUCCGGGUCGUCUCGCUUGGAACUAGGCCCCGCGAGAAUGGCAGCCGGCCACGCACCGUGCCUCAGCCUGGUUGCGUGUGCAUUAGCGCUCGCGCAUGCGCGUCGCAAUUUGACGAAUCUAACCUGGAAAAAAGGAAGAAGAAUAGAAACAGAAGUGACGUAGGAAAUUCUUUUUGUUGAGAUUAUGGCAAACGGUUUUAAAGAGAGAUAUUAUUGGUCAAUUCUGAUUUUGGUAAAUAAAGAGAGAAGGGAUAUUGAAAUAAAGAAGAAGGAGAGAAGAUGAUAUGGAUGGAAUAUAAUACGUUAUCUGCAAGUUACGUUUCAUUUUCGACCACUCGUCGAAGGAAAGAGUUUUUAGAACAGUUGCCAAAAAAAUUGUCGAUGGCUUGUUGGAAGCUCGCAGUGAAGCGUGUUGGGUGACCAUCGUUAGCGAGAACGAGCGAGAGAAUGCAGGAACGAAGCAAGAGGACAAGUUAGCGUGCUAAGAGUGCGGAGAGCGUUCACCCUGGCCGGUGCGUCGGCCCUUCGCACAGCGUUUCUCAAACCUAAGCGAUAUUCUGCGUUUACGAGUUUGGCCCUUAGGGAGAACGUUCGAAGGGUGUCAAAAAACGAGUAAAAAUUGGGGUUGAUUUCAACGGAGAGUAUUGAUGCGCGGUAUACAGUCGAAAAUGGAAGAAUUUUAUCGAGUCGAGAAAAUAAUAAACUGAGAAUUCAAGAUUUUUAAUCAAUCAUUGUACAAUUUUCUAAUUAUUAAUACGAUUGAUUUUCGAUUGAAAAAUUGAAAAUAUUAAAAAUUUCUACCAAUUCUAACGAUCAAGCAUAGCCGAGAAAUCGUUGCAGCGAUUUUGGCGAUAUGUUGAGUCGCGCACGUACGCCACCCUUGGAGACUAUCGUUCGAAGGCAUCGUUUCGUCGAUGUCUUUUUGCCAUUUCAUCGAAGUCGCAAGAAUUCGAAAGUCGAAGGACAUCGGUGGGGGCAAAAACACGCGCGAGCAUCCUUUUCGAACGCAUUGACGCGUACGUCAUAUAUGAGAAAACGCGCAUUCUUGGUCUCGCAUUCCAAACCCGAGAACCAGAUGGAAUAAAUUGGCCUGCAAAGCAUCGACUUUAUGCCGAUGAUCUCGUUAGAUGAUCGUACGUAAUUCUGGUUUCGAGAUUAUUGCCCAUUAUGGUUAUACUCGUACCAGAUAUAUAUUCUUGGAUAAUUCGAGCACCCCUUAAAUUUGAAUAUUAACAAGCUACAUUAUUCCUUAUGCACGGCUUGCUAUAAAUUGUCAAGUGUUAAUUUUAAAAAUUCAGAUAUUUCAGAUAUAAUUCCUUAUCAUGUCCAAUUAAUCAUACAUAGAAAAAUACCAAUCUCAUAAAUUUCUAUCAAUCUCAAAUAUACAUCGAACGACAAAACUA